RNAcentral lists this ribosomal RNA (282 nucleotides) under uncultured bacterium. Its description in RNAcentral is "partial 16S ribosomal RNA". It matches the Rfam family "Bacterial small subunit ribosomal RNA", at positions 333 to 607 of the family's 1533-position model. The record is from RNAcentral.
CUGGUCCUACGGGAGGCAGCAGUGGGGGAUAUUGCACAAUGGGGGGAACCCUGAUGCAGCGACGCCGCGUGGGUGAAGGAGCGUUUCGGCUCGUAAAGCUCUGUUGGUAGUGAAGAAAGAUAGAGGUAGUAACUGGCCUUUAUUUGACGGUAAUUACUUAGAAAGUCACGGCUAACUACGUGCCAGCAGCCGCGGUAAUACGUAGGUGGCAAGCGUUGUCCGGAUUUAUUGGGCGUAAAGCGAGUGCAGGCGGGUCAAUAAGUCCGAUGUGAAAGCCUUCUG